GGAGGAGGCGCCGCUCCCGGCGUGUGACUCGCAGCCGUGCGGCUGGGAGUCCGACGUGGCGGUCGGCGCCGCUCUUGGCGAGCCUCCAGGGGUGACCUAAUUGGACUCGGCGUGGGCCUUUGAGUCACCCCGCAGGCUUGUUGCGCUUCUGCGGACAGGGCGGCUCAAGCUGGGUUUGUCAGUCCGGGACUGAACUGGUUCCUCCUAGUACUCCGAGAACUCAGCUGCCAAGUUCCUCCAUAUUGAAAUGUUCCCUGCUGGAGCGGGGAAGGAGCCGUGAGACUCAGGGAGUUAGCUAACCUUGCAAAUCUUGGAGACUGAAGAGCGCAAGGUUCCCAAGGCCUUCCCCAAUGUGAUAGAGGCAAUAAGAAGUCAUUGAGGAGGAGACCGACUUGCCUGGAGGAGGGGUGCCAAGCUGUCCAGCCAUUGACAGGAUUCUACAUGGAGCACACUCAUGCUGCCUCAGGGCCUUGAAGGGGGUACUACAGGUUAAACGGACAUGGCUCAUGUGUCACAAGGCUGAUUAACUCAUCCCGAAUUCCCUGGGCUGCCAGUGUGUUUAUCUAAGUGUAUUUUUUAAUGGUCCAUGGGUGGAGCGUGUGUGAGGGAGAGGAAGGAGAAGCAUGUGGUAAUGAAGGUUGUGCUGAGCCUCAACUUUUUUGGAAAAUGAGAUGUGGCGGCCUGUGAUGACUAUUGCCUUUUUUUCUUAGGUGUUAACGUCCUGUCACCCCUUUGCCAGUAACUACCCCCCUCACUUACAGAGGCAUGGGCCGGUGGUGAUGCUGGCUAACCAUAGCUCCCCCAUUCCUCCCUGACAGAGUGAUGGCUUAGGGGAGGGGAUGAACUUCAGGUGGGUCAAUGAGAGGCCUCCUUAGGGUCUUUGAACUCCUAAUCCUCCUGCCUCCAUCUCCCAAUGCUAGGAUUACAAGGGUGUGCCAGCAUGCUUACCAGAGAAGUCUUACUUAAAAGGAUAAUGCCCAGUGUCUCAACCGGCUUCCUGUGGCCUGCAAGAUAUAGAACUUUCAGCUACUACGCCAGCACCGUGUCUUCCUGCACACUGCUAUGUUCCCUGCCAUGUUGAUAGUGGACUGAACCUCUGAAACUGCACCAUGAUCUCCAGUUGUCCCAUAAUCCAAACCAGAUAAGCUGAAAUAGCUAAACAGAACAGAACAUGUAGCACCCGCAAACUACGCGUAACAGGAGAGAGCCACCAUCCUUCCAUUCCUGUUCGGAAAGUUCCAGCUAAGCCGAGUGUGCUCAUUUCUGAAAGUUCAGUGCACGGGAAGCUCUUCAGAAUGACGCUCAAAACCCUGCUUUGGAGCAGCAGCUCAGAGCCGUGACACCUAGAGCACUGGACUGCCUCUGAAGCUUCAGCUGAACCACAAAUGCAAGUCCCACACAGCCAAUGAAGACCUGCCUGACAGCAAUCCCUGGACACCCUAGAAAGAAAAUGGGCCACACCUCCUCGACUGCACUGGAUCCAACUUGCUCCAUUUCAGCUGACACUCCGGCCAGAGGUUUGGGUACUGACUUCAAUCAAGUUGAGGAUUUCAAGCGAGAUCUUCAAUCAAGUGAAUCCCAUCUAACAUGGACUGGAUACUAACAUUUUCUUUCUACAGGACCCCACAUGACUAUCAUCGUCCCAUUUCAGCAGGAAGUAACUUGGAAAAUGCUACGCCCCCUUUCCCCAUUGUUGUCACUUAGGAUAGUGUAUAUACCUAGUUAGGAAUAGCUUCCUAUUGUUUAUGACUUUAGGGUUUAGUUAAAAUAGAUAGUUAUCUUCUUAUAUUUUACCUUUAUACUGUUAAGUUUUAAUCCUCUUUUAGACUAAAAGGGGAAUUGUAGGGGAAGCUGUAGCCACGCCUUCUUAGGGGCUGGCUACAAGAGUACCUGAGGGCUUGUGAGGGCAUGGUCAGAGUGAGUAGGGGGACUGCGUUUUCAGUUUCGGUUUCUCUUUGCUUCUUGCUGUACAGACUACCACCGGCUGGCUGGUUCGCUCUGUAAGUAAGGCUUUUCCCUAUUAAAUACCCUUAUAUUUCUACCUGACUCCGUACUGGUAAUUUCUUACUAUAAUCUGCAAGAGCAGCAAGUGCUCUAAAUCCUGGGCCAUCCUGCAACAGUG
This 2122-nucleotide long non-coding RNA is filed under the name Cricetulus griseus (Chinese hamster). RNAcentral describes it as "lncRNA (ENSCGRG00015030877.1)". The record is from RNAcentral. Lineage: Eukaryota; Metazoa; Chordata; Mammalia; Rodentia; Cricetidae.